UACGUAGGGGGCGAGCGUUGUCCGGAUUUAUUGGGCGUAAAGAGCGUGUAGGCGGCCAGGUAGGUCUGCUGUGAAAACUCGAGGCUCAACCUCGAGACGUCGGCGGAAACCAUCUGGCUAGAGUCCGGAAGAGGAGAGUGGAAUUCCUGGUGUAGCGGUGAAAUGCGCAGAUAUCUGGAGGAAUACCGGUGGCGAAGGCGGCAUCCUGGACCGAGAUUGACGCUGAUGAGCGAAAGCUAGGGGAGCAAACGGG
RNAcentral lists this ribosomal RNA (253 nucleotides) under uncultured bacterium. Its description in RNAcentral is "partial 16S ribosomal RNA". It matches the Rfam family "Bacterial small subunit ribosomal RNA", at positions 524 to 776 of the family's 1533-position model. The record is from RNAcentral.